RNAcentral lists this long non-coding RNA (257 nucleotides) under Arachis ipaensis. RNAcentral describes it as "long non-coding RNA (AIPA_LNC000186)". Lineage: Eukaryota; Viridiplantae; Streptophyta; Magnoliopsida; Fabales; Fabaceae. The record is from RNAcentral.
UGGUCGCCGAGAAGAGGAGAGAGGGAGAAAAGGAACGCGAGCCAGUAGCCAGGGGGAGGAGCCUCGUGCGUCACCGUCAUCGUUGCUCGCCGUCACCCUCACCGCGUAUCGCCGCCGUUGAGUUGCUGCGCGCAGCAAGAAGUAGUCGCCGUCGCCGUCUUGGAGCCAUCAACGUCACUGAGCCACACGACAUCACCGCCGCGAACCGCGAACAGAGGAGAGGGACAGAGAUGUGUUCGCGAGGGAGCUGCCGCCGU